UACGGAGGGUGCAAGCGUUAAUCGGAUUUAUUGGGCGUAAAGGGCGCGUAGGCUGGCGAAUAAGUCGGGUGUGAAAUUCUGAGGCUUAACCUCAGAGCUGCACUUGAAACUAUUUGUCUAGAGGGUAGGCGGAGAAAACGGAAUUCCACAAGUAGCGGUGAAAUGCGUAGAUAUGUGGAAGAACACCGGUGGCGAAGGCGGUUUUCUAGCUUACACCUGACGCUGAGGCGCGAAAGUUAGGGGAUCAAACAGG
RNAcentral lists this ribosomal RNA (253 nucleotides) under uncultured bacterium. RNAcentral describes it as "partial 16S ribosomal RNA". It matches the Rfam family "Bacterial small subunit ribosomal RNA", at positions 524 to 776 of the family's 1533-position model. The record is from RNAcentral.